CUAAUACCGGAUAAGCCCUUACGGGGAAAGAUUUAUCGCCGAAAGAUCGGCCCGCGUCUGAUUAGCUAGUUGGUGAGGUAACGGCUCACCAAGGCGACGAUCAGUAGCUGGUCUGAGAGGAUGAUCAGCCACAUUGGGACUGAGACACGGCCCAAACUCCUACGGGAGGCAGCAGUGGGGAAUAUUGGACAAUGGGGGCAACCCUGAUCCAGCCAUGCCGCGUGAGUGAUGAAGGCCCUAGGGUUGUAAAGCUCUUUUGUGCGGGAAGAUAAUGACGGUACCGCAAGAAUAAGCCCCGGCUAACUUCGUGCCAGCAGCCGCGGUAAUACGAAGGGGGCUAGCGUUGCUCGGAAUCACUGGGCGUAAAGGGUGCGUAGGCGGGUCUUUAAGUCAGGGGUGAAAUCCUGGAGCUCAACUCCAGAACUGCCUUUGAUACUGAAGAUCUUGAGUCCGGGAGAGGUGAGUGGAACUGCGAGUG
RNAcentral lists this ribosomal RNA (478 nucleotides) under Bradyrhizobium sp. Its description in RNAcentral is "bacterial SSU rRNA". It matches the Rfam family "Bacterial small subunit ribosomal RNA", at positions 163 to 675 of the family's 1533-position model. The record is from RNAcentral. Lineage: Bacteria; Pseudomonadati; Pseudomonadota; Alphaproteobacteria; Hyphomicrobiales; Nitrobacteraceae.